Molecule: transfer RNA, 97 nt
Filed under: Rivularia sp. (in: cyanobacteria)
Lineage: Bacteria; Bacillati; Cyanobacteriota; Cyanophyceae; Nostocales; Rivulariaceae
Description: Rivularia sp. (in: Bacteria) tRNA-Ser
Rfam family: tRNA
About the family: Transfer RNA (tRNA) molecules are approximately 80 nucleotides in length. Their secondary structure includes four short double-helical elements and three loops (D, anti-codon, and T loops). Further hydrogen bonds mediate the characteristic L-shaped molecular structure. tRNAs have two regions of fundamental functional importance: the anti-codon, which is responsible for specific mRNA codon recognition, and the 3' end, to which the tRNAs corresponding amino acid is attached (by aminoacyl-tRNA synthetases). tRNAs cope with the degeneracy of the genetic code in two manners: having more than one tRNA (with a specific anti-codon) for a particular amino acid; and 'wobble' base-pairing, i.e. permitting non-standard base-pairing at the 3rd anti-codon position.
Source: RNAcentral
GCAUAAUUAGCUCAGAGGAAGAGCGUUAGACUUGAAAUCUAAAGGACGUAGGUAUGUCCUAGCGGACACGCUUCGCUAACAACUCCUACAUUGUGCG